CCGGUGUGUUGUGCUUUUUCUUCCCUGCCGUGUCUCCCCAUUAUUUGUCCGGCCUGCCCCUGCGGCGCCCAGAGGCUGUUCUGGCUGCAAGGCCGGUGGCAGACCCGGCCUGCGCUGGACGCUGCCCCGCUCAUAACGGGGACGGCGGCUGGCAGGUGUCGUUGUGUCCAUGAGAUCAUUCACGUGGACGCAGAGCUUCAUAAUUCAUUUGCUCUACCCUGCAACCUCGAGGAACAACCAGAUCUGGAAAGGUGGGCAGACUGUCAUUCACUGAGGAAAAGCCUGCCUGAAGAGACAGGGCUCCACCUGCUUGGACAAGGACAGGAAGGUGAAAACUUCUAUUUUCACGGAAGAGAUGCAGCAUACCGGGAGCGAGGUCCUCACAAAACAUCGUGUCAGGUUACCGGGUUUGUUUUUUCAUGGCCAAAACCAAAAAUUUUGUGUCCUUGUAAAAGCUAGAGUUAGUUCUUGUGGGCUGUGGGCCAUUUAUUUGUUUAUUUGUUUAUCUAUU
Non-coding RNA from Pogona vitticeps (central bearded dragon), 511 nucleotides. NCBI's taxonomy places the organism in Eukaryota, Metazoa, Chordata, Lepidosauria, Squamata, Agamidae. The record is from RefSeq and is a predicted model, not a curated record.